CUGCUUUAGAGGAAGAAGCACAUAUACUAAAAUUAGAAUGAUGCAGAGAAGUUUAGCAUGGUCCUUUUGGAAAGAUGGCAUGUAAAUUCAUGAAGUAUUCCAUAUUUUU
This is a small nuclear RNA of Phascolarctos cinereus (koala), 109 nucleotides long. The record is from Ensembl. Lineage: Eukaryota; Metazoa; Chordata; Mammalia; Diprotodontia; Phascolarctidae.